GAAUGAUAUUAAACCUUCCCAAGAUGGAACGUUUCCCCAAAAGUGUGUUGGAAUUCGUGAGGUUGCAAACAGAAAAAAGGCAGAAGAAUUUGAAGUAUUUGCAGCGAGAAUUUUGCCUAGCGCAAAACCACAAAAUAAAAAGCCGGUGAUGUCAUAAUCCCGCACGACACUUUUUCGACCAUGCCCGUGAAGUCACUUUUUUGUUCAAAUAUCCACAAACUAGCAGCAACGACCAGCGGGGAAAAAAUGAACUUCUCCAACACACGAAUUGCCUCUCCUGAUCUCAAUGCCCACUUUGUUUGAAUCGCCGUUCGGGCAUGAUGUCACCUGAGCGGUUCUUCUGUGUGAGCUUGGCUGCCCUCACUGUCCUGCGGGCUGUGUUUUUUCAAGCUUCAAACCUUAAACUAAUCCUCUUCUAUGCAACUGCUUCGGAAUGAUUUCUAUUGUUAAUUCAUGAAAAUCACUCAAAUUUACACCAAACCUGGAAAGGUUAUUCCACUAUAAAUGGUUCCUAUAAUAUUGCCGUUG
Long non-coding RNA from Anopheles merus, 528 nucleotides. RefSeq lists it as uncharacterized. The record is from RefSeq and is a predicted model, not a curated record. The transcript has 3 exons. NCBI's taxonomy places the organism in Eukaryota, Metazoa, Arthropoda, Insecta, Diptera, Culicidae.